Molecule: transfer RNA, 72 nt
Filed under: Ictidomys tridecemlineatus (thirteen-lined ground squirrel)
Lineage: Eukaryota; Metazoa; Chordata; Mammalia; Rodentia; Sciuridae
Description: Spermophilus tridecemlineatus (thirteen-lined ground squirrel) tRNA
Rfam family: tRNA
About the family: Transfer RNA (tRNA) molecules are approximately 80 nucleotides in length. Their secondary structure includes four short double-helical elements and three loops (D, anti-codon, and T loops). Further hydrogen bonds mediate the characteristic L-shaped molecular structure. tRNAs have two regions of fundamental functional importance: the anti-codon, which is responsible for specific mRNA codon recognition, and the 3' end, to which the tRNAs corresponding amino acid is attached (by aminoacyl-tRNA synthetases). tRNAs cope with the degeneracy of the genetic code in two manners: having more than one tRNA (with a specific anti-codon) for a particular amino acid; and 'wobble' base-pairing, i.e. permitting non-standard base-pairing at the 3rd anti-codon position.
Source: Rfam by way of RNAcentral
GAGGCUGUAGCUCAGUGGUAAAGUGCUUGCCUCACAUGUAUGAGGCACUGGGUUCAAUCCUCAGCACCACCU